CUCUCCAUGGUGUAGCGGUCAUCACGUUUGCUUUACAGAGUUCCGGCUGUGCGCAAAAGGUCGUGAGUUCAAUCCUCGCUGGGUUCA
Mycena albidolilacea is the source of this 87-nucleotide non-coding RNA. The record is from the annotation of a GenBank genome assembly. Lineage: Eukaryota; Fungi; Basidiomycota; Agaricomycetes; Agaricales; Mycenaceae.